This 386-nucleotide ribosomal RNA is filed under the name uncultured bacterium. RNAcentral describes it as "bacterial SSU rRNA". It matches the Rfam family "Bacterial small subunit ribosomal RNA", at positions 28 to 417 of the family's 1533-position model. The record is from RNAcentral.
GACGAACGCUGGCGGCGUGCUUAACACAUGCAAGUCGAGCGGUAAGGCCCUUUCGGGGGUACACGAGCGGCGAACGGGUGAGUAACACGUGGGUGACCUGCCCUUAGCUCUGGGAUAAGCCUGGGAAACUGGGUCUAAUACCGGAUAUGACCUCAUGACUCAUGUUGUGGGGUGGAAAGCCUUGUGCGGCUAGGGAUGGGCCCGCGGUCUAUCAGCUUGUUGGUGGGGUAAUUGCCUACCAAGGCGACGACGGGUAGCCGGCCUGAGAGGGCGACCGGCCACACUGGGACUGAGACACGGCCCAGACUCCUACGGGAGGCAGCAGUGGGGAAUCUUGCGCAAUGGCGAAAGCCUGACGCAGCGACGCCGCGUGAGGAUGACGGCCU